UUGAACGGCUGGCGGCAGGCCUAACACAUGCGAAGUCGAGCGGAGUGAGUGGAGCUUGCUCCAUGAUUCAGCGGCGGACGGGUGAGUAAUGCCUAGGAAUCUGCCUGGUAGUGGGGGGACAACGUUUCGAAAGGAACGCUAAUACCGCAUACGUCCUACGGGAGAAAGCAGGGGACCUUCGGGCCUUGCGCUAUCAGAUGAGCCUAGGUCGGAUUAGCUAGUAGGUGAGGUAAUGGCUCACCUAGGCGACGAUCCGUAACUGGUCUGAGAGGAUGAUCAGUCACACUGGAACUGAGACACGGUCCAGACUCCUACGGGAGGCAGCAGUGGGGAAUAUUGGACAAUGGGCGAAAGCCUGAUCCAGCCAUGCCGCGUGUGUGAAGAAGGUCUUCGGAUUGUAAUGCACUUUAAGUUGGGAGGAAGGGCAGUAAGUUAAUACCUUGCUGUUUUGACGUUACCAACAGAAUAAGCACCGGCUAACUUCGUG
RNAcentral lists this ribosomal RNA (487 nucleotides) under uncultured bacterium. Its description in RNAcentral is "bacterial SSU rRNA". It matches the Rfam family "Bacterial small subunit ribosomal RNA", at positions 35 to 507 of the family's 1533-position model. The record is from RNAcentral.